Molecule: long non-coding RNA, 1133 nt
Organism: Engraulis encrasicolus (European anchovy)
Lineage: Eukaryota; Metazoa; Chordata; Actinopteri; Clupeiformes; Engraulidae
Exons: 6
Source: RefSeq, a predicted model, not a curated record
UAUUUUUGUCAAGAAUGUUUGUAAACUGAAAUUGUGUGCUUACAUUUAUGUUGGUGUUGUAAUCUGUGUUGGUGUUGUUGUUGUAUCUAAAUUUCCCCACUUUUCAUUGCGACAGGUACAAAUUGCUUGCAUUAUAUUAUUGCAUGUUACUGCUGUACAGGCUGUGCGAGACGCAGCAAGGAGAGACCAGGCUCAGGCAGAAGACAACACCAUGGACCUCAACACAUUCCACACCCGGUGGAGAUGGACGAGUGACCUGACCUGAGAUUUCGUUUUCUUUUCAGAUCUACACCUCCACCACCAUCAUAUAUGUCAAUGCCUCACAGCUGUGAAGCUGCCACUCCCUCCCAAACUCAUGGCACAGCACCCAGCCAUUCGGAAGAUUUGAGGCACAAACAUCAUCCAUUCAAAAACAUUUGGAAUGUCCUGGAGGAACACAAGAAAACCCUUUUGAGGAUAACAGAAUUCAUAAAGUACAUGCCAUGGAAGAGCACAUGGGGCCAAUGACAAGGAAGAUGGAGGUUAUGGAGAGGAAGUCCAUGACUUUGAAGGCUGCCAUGGCUUUCAACAUGCCACGACCUGCUGUUGGUCCAGUGCAGUAGAGAGCAUAAGCUGGUGGAGCUAGCCAGAAGCCUGGCUCAACCAGAAAUGAGAAACCAAAUGACCUUGGGAAAGCCUGGGAUGGGCGAAUACGGCAGCUGCUGUCCGCCGUGGGUGGCUACCCACACACCAUGUCCUGGGACAUUACAGCCAGAGGAGGAAUAGAACGUGCAUGCAUUCCAGAACCUGACCCUUUGCAAAGUUAUAACAGAGACCUACACGCAGAACUUCUCUGUCCUGCAGGAAGCGAAUAUUGAGAAUAGCAUUGGGCAUAUUCUGAAAUUUGUAAUACACAGAUGGUAAAUUAAACUUCAGUGUGUCUUUUAUCAAUCAAUGAAUAGUCACAAUAAGCUAAUUAAACGAAACAUUGGUAGGCUACUAAGUUGGUUUAAACUUUUUGUUUCUUAUUCUUUUUCGGUCAGCUGGUCCUCAAGACUGAAAACACACACCAACAUUUUUAUUUUCUGUAUUUUAUUUAUAGUUUUUAUUUAUUUAUUUAUUUAACUUUGAGCCUUGAUGGCAUUUUAUGAUGA